UACGAAGGUGGCGAAUGUUGCUCGGAUUCACUGGGCGUAAGCGUCUGUAGGUGGCUUGUUAAGUUAGAGGUGAAAGCCCCGGGCUCAACCUGGGAACUGCAUUUGUGACUGCACGGCUGGAGUGCGGCAGAGGGGGAUGGAAUUCCGCGUGUAGCAGUGAAAUGCGUAGAUAUGCGGAGGAACACCGAUGGCGAAGGCAAUCCCCUGGGCCUGCACUGACGCUCAUGCACGAAAGCGUGGGGAGCAAACAGGAUUGAGA
This 259-nucleotide ribosomal RNA is filed under the name uncultured bacterium. Its description in RNAcentral is "partial 16S ribosomal RNA". It matches the Rfam family "Bacterial small subunit ribosomal RNA", at positions 524 to 782 of the family's 1533-position model. The record is from RNAcentral.